Molecule: ribosomal RNA, 1972 nt
Filed under: Entamoeba suis
Lineage: Eukaryota; Evosea; Mastigamoebida; Endamoebidae
Description: SSU rRNA
Rfam family: Eukaryotic small subunit ribosomal RNA
Source: RNAcentral
GAUGUUAAAGAUUAAGCCAUGCAUGUGUAAGUAUAAAGACCAAGAAGGAUGAAACUGCGAACGGCUCAUUACAACAGUUAUAAUUUCUUUGAUUAGUAAAAUAUAAGGAAUACCUUUGUGAAUAAUAAAGAUAAUACUUGAAACGAUCCUAAUUGAAUCAAAUCAAUUAGGCAUAACUAUCAACCGAUAGUUAUAGGAAAGAAGUUUAUUAAGAAAAAGAACAAAUUUUACAAUUGUAGAAAUCGUAAGAUUUUAACAAGUAAUCAAUGAAAAUAUCUGAUCUAUCAACUAGUUGGUAGUAUAGAGGACUACCAAGGUUAUAACGGAUAACGAGAAAUUAGGGUUUGACAUCGGAGAAGGAGCUUUAAAAAUGGCUACUACUUCUAAGGAAGGCAGCAGGCGCGUAAAUUACCCACUUUUAACAUAAAGAGGUAGUGACGACAAAUAACUCUUUUAAAGCCGUAAGGUUUUAAUUGAAGGAAUGAAUAUAAUGUAAAUAAUUAUAUGAAAGCAAUUGGAGGGCAAGUCUGGUGCCAGCAGCCGCGGUAAUUCCAGCUCCAAUAGUAUAUAUUAAAGUUGUUGUGAUUAAAACGCUCGUAGUUGAAUGAUAUAGUAUUAUUUUUCUUUAAAAGAUUAAUGAAAAUAUAAUCAUUAAUUGAUUAAAGAAUAACAAUAAUAAUACAGAAGGAAUUUUUAAAAUAGAAAUAUUUUAAAAAAUUACUUUGAAUAAAAUAGAGUGUUUAAAGCAAAACAUUUUUAGUUAAUGAAUAAUGAAGCAUGGGACAAUAAUAAGGAGAUUCAGCAAUGAAUUUCGAGAAAAAGAUUAAAAGGAAUAAUUGGGGUAAUUUAGAAGAAGAUGGGAGAGGUGAAAAUCCAUGAUCAUCUUUAGAUAAACUAGAGCGAAAGCAUUUUACUCAAUUAUAUUCAUUAAUCAAGAACGAAAGUUAGGGGAUCGAAGACGAUCAGAUACCGUCGUAGUCCUAACUAUAAACGAUGUUAACCAAGGAUUGGAUAAAAUUUAAAAAUUGAAUUAAAUUUAAAUGAUUAACUUGUUAAUUGUUUAAAUUUAAUUUAAUAAUAUAAUCACUUUAUUCAGAACUUGAAGAGAAAUCUAUGAGUUUAUGAACUUCAGGGGGAGUAUGGUCACAAGGCUGAAACUUAAAGGAAUUGACGGAAGGGCACACCAGGAGUGGAGCCUGCGGCUUAAUUUGACUCAACACGGGAAAACUUACCAAGACCGAACAUAAUAAGGAAUGACAGAUUAAAGGUUCUUUCAUGAUUUUAUGGGGAGUGGUGCAUGGCCGUUCUUAGUUGGUGGAAUGAUUUGUCAGGUUAAUUCCGGUAACGAACGAGACUUAAACCUAUUAAUUAGUUGAAUACCUAAAAGAUAUUCAUGUAGUAAUACAAUUAUUAUUUUAUAAUAAUACUACUUAAAGGGACACAUAUCAAUCUCUUUAAUAUAAUUUAAUUAAUAAUUAAAUAAUUUCGUAAGGAAUUAAAUUAAUUAUAUAAAUUAUAUAAAAGAAAAGAUAAAGGAAGCUUUAAGCAAUAACAGGUCUGUGAUGCCCUUAGACAUCUUGGGCUGCACGCGCGCUACAAUGGAAAUACUAAAGAGUAGUAAUUUAGAUAUUGGAAAUAAUAAAUAUUUAUACUUGUAUAAAUAUUUAUUAUUAGAAAAUAUUUUAACUAAUCUGAAAAGAUAAGUAAAACUCAAAUUAUUAAACUUGACAGGGAUUAAUGAUUGAAAUUAUUUGUUAUGAACGAGGAAUUCCUUGUAAAAUUGCGUCAUUAACACAAGUUGAAUACGUCCCUGCCCUUUGUACACACCGCCCGUCGCUCCUACCGAUUGAAUAAAGAGGUGAAAUUCUAGGAUUUAUUAUAGUAAUAUAAUGAAAAAUGGAUGUAAACCCCCUUAUUUAGAGGAAGGAGAAGUCGUAACAAGGUUUCCGUAGGUGAACCUGCGGAAGGAUCA